This 476-nucleotide ribosomal RNA is filed under the name uncultured organism. RNAcentral's name for it is "partial 16S ribosomal RNA". It matches the Rfam family "Bacterial small subunit ribosomal RNA", at positions 332 to 799 of the family's 1533-position model. The record is from RNAcentral.
UACACUCCUGCGGGAGGCAGCAGUGGGGAAUUUUGGACAAUGGGCGAAAGCCUGAUCCAGCAAUGCCGCGUGCAGGAUGAAGGCCUUCGGGUUGUAAACUGCUUUUGUACGGAACGAAAAAGCUCCUUCUAAUACAGGGGGCCCAUGACGGUACCGUAAGAAUAAGCCCCGGCUAACUACGUGCCAGCAGCCGCGGUAAUACGUAGGGUGCGAGCGUUAAUCGGAAUUACUGGGCGUAAAGCGUGCGCAGGCGGUUAUGUAAGACAGAUGUGAAAUCCCCGGGCUCAACCUGGGAACUGCAUUUGUGACUGCAUGGCUAGAGUACGGUAGAGGGGGAUGGAAUUCCGCGUGUAGCAGUGAAAUGCGUAGAUAUGAGGAGGAACACCGAUGGCGAAGGCAAUCCCCUGGACCUGUACUGACGCUCAUGCACGAAAGCGUGGGGAGCAAACAGGAUUAGAAACCCUGGUAGUCCCAUG